GUUCCAGAAUGUUGUGCAGAUGAAUUCUUCAAGGGAGAUGGGGAAAUAUUAAAGCAGUUAUGCUUGUAAAACUGCACCUGGAAUUGUCUUUACAAUGCUGGUCACCCAUGCCAGAAACAUGAAUUCAUCUGGGGCAGGUGCAGUGAGCGGCUGUGGGGAUUAGCAGUGAGUAGUAAAAUAUAGAGGAGUAAACUGGAAGAGUUUGCCUUGUUUGUCCUAGUAGAAUAAAGGCUAAGGAAGAAUGCAACUGUGAUUUAUAAACACAAUAGUGAAUUAAACACAAGGAGUGAGAAGGCAUAUUUAAGCAGAAGAACAAUAUUGCCUUGAGCAAAUAGGUGUGUGGCUCAGCUGCAAUCAGUUUUUAACAAAACAUUCUGAAUUGGAGAAAGAAUCCAGAGUUCUCUAUAGAUGAGACAGAUUUUAAUACAUUUAUAGAGAUGAAUGCAUGAAAUUCUUACCUGUAAAGAGAGAUCUGGCUCACAAGGUCCCUGCUGUGUGUUCCAAAGCUUUCUGUUGUUAAUAAUGUUUUCAUUUUGAUUUUGGUUAGGUAGAUAUUGUGUACCAGUCUCAGAUAGUGGAACUCCUUUUUGAACUAAAUACUUGCAAAUGCAAGUCUGAUCUUGGACUAAAUCACACAGACUCUAGUCCAGAGAGGUAUUAAUUCAAAAAUGCAUCCACCUUGAAAGAUUUCAGCUUAGGAACGUGAAAGUGGGGAACCUCCUUCACCAUAGUUUUGCUUCCUCAUCCCCACUUGUGUGUGGCAGCCCCCUGGCUUCCCAUUUGUUUCUCCAGGUGCCCUACGCUGCUGAGCUGAAGAAUCCUUUUACUACUGUUCAACAGCAACCAUGGGAGGAUGCCCAUGCUAGAAGAAAUUCUGAAGAAUUUGUGUCAGAACAAUCAUUUGCCUCUAUCAUCUGAAUGCUCAUUUGAAGGAUACUGGAAACUGGAUUCAGUGCUCUGUUUUACAAAGAAGUAGAGCAGGUGACAGUAUGGUCUAAGACAUUAAACAUUCAGGAAGAUUCCACAUGUUACUGUAUCACAAUAGUUUUCCCUCACCCUACACUCCUUAUGUGUGCAAGCUGUAAACUGUGACUGAAAACAACGAUGUAAAAUCAAAUCUACAAACUUAAAACUCCAUACUUUUUCCAGCUUUAGAAAAACAGAAACUACAGCAAUAACAACUGCUUCUCAGUUGUUUAAUUUGUCUCCUGGUGUACUAACAUUAUAGCUGGGAAACUUAUUUCAAGCUACUUUUGUUCUGAAUGAGCUUCCAUGAAGGAAUAGAUGGCAUUACUUGUAUGGAGGGUUACACUAUAGAAAAUAAAACGAACACUAAAAAAUUAACCACUGAUUAUAGAGAAUUACAAUGAAGACAGAAAAGGAUUAAUCAGCAUCUUCUCCCUGAAGAAGUCUGCAAUUCAUCCUUCUGAUGAUGGAUGUAACCAGAGAUCUGCAAGAUUUGUAUACAUAGAAGGUACUUCAUCUUCUGCUGAGAGUUUGUUAGAAUGAGGAUGGAGGGAGUUGUUGUUUGUUUGCUUUUAAAAUCAACUAUGUCUAUGCUGUUUUCUUGAUUUCAUUUGUAUUUACUUGUUGGCAAAUGGACUCUCAAUAACUUUGUUCCAUUACAGCUUGUCUGGUUGUUUCCAUUACCAAAGUCUAUGUUCCAGAGAGAAAUCA
Molecule: long non-coding RNA, 1677 nt
Organism: Lagopus muta (rock ptarmigan)
Lineage: Eukaryota; Metazoa; Chordata; Aves; Galliformes; Phasianidae
Exons: 3
Source: RefSeq, a predicted model, not a curated record